GAUGAACGCUGGCGGCGUGCCUAAUACAUGCAAGUCGAGCGAACAGACGAGGAGCUUGCUCCUCUGACGUUAGCGGCGGACGGGUGAGUAACACGUGGAUAACCUACCUAUAAGACUGGGAUAACUUCGGGAAACCGGAGCUAAUACCGGAUAAUAUAUUGAACCGCAUGGUUCAAUAGUGAAAGACGGUUUUGCUGUCACUUAUAGAUGGAUCCGCGCCGCAUUAGCUAGUUGGUAAGGUAACGGCUUACCAAGGCAACGAUGCGUAGCCGACCUGAGAGGGUGAUUGGCCACACUGUAACUGAGACACAGUCCAGACUCCUACGGGAGGCAGCAGUAGGGAAUCUUCCGCAAUGGGCGAAAGCUUGACGGAGCAACGCCGCGUGAGUGAUGAAGGUCUUCUGAUCGUAAAACUCUGUUAUUAGGGAAGAACAAAUGUGUAAGUAACUAUGCACGUCUUGACGGUACCUAAUCAGAAAGCCACGGCUAACUACGUG
Molecule: ribosomal RNA, 497 nt
Filed under: uncultured bacterium
Lineage: Bacteria
Description: partial 16S ribosomal RNA
Rfam family: Bacterial small subunit ribosomal RNA
Source: RNAcentral